RNAcentral lists this ribosomal RNA (305 nucleotides) under uncultured bacterium. RNAcentral's name for it is "bacterial SSU rRNA". It matches the Rfam family "Bacterial small subunit ribosomal RNA", at positions 333 to 652 of the family's 1533-position model. The record is from RNAcentral.
UGUUCCCUACGGGGGGCAGCAGUGGGGAAUAUUGGGCAAUGGGCGCAAGCCUGACCCAGCAACGCCGCGUGAAGGAAGAAGGCUUUCGGGUUGUAAACUUCUUUUAUGAGGGACGAAACAAAUGACGGUACCUCAUGAAUAAGCCACGGCUAACUACGUGCCAGCAGCCGCGGUAAUACGUAGGUGGCAAGCGUUAUCCGGAUUUACUGGGUGUAAAGGGCGUGUAGCCGGGCUGACAAGUCAGAUGUGAAAUUCCGGGGCUCAACCCCGGACCUGCAUUUGAAACUGUUGGUCUUGAGUAUCGG